GGGACAUCAGAAAUGGGCUUCACACAUUGUACCCAUGUGGGGAAUUGAACCCGGGUCUUCGGCGUGACGAGCGAACGCUUUGACCACUUAUGUACCCUACUGCCCCGCUUCUUAUACUGGUUGAAG
Haliotis rubra (blacklip abalone) is the source of this 126-nucleotide long non-coding RNA. RefSeq lists it as uncharacterized. Lineage: Eukaryota; Metazoa; Mollusca; Gastropoda; Lepetellida; Haliotidae. The transcript has 3 exons. The record is from RefSeq and is a predicted model, not a curated record.